Molecule: unclassified non-coding RNA, 291 nt
Filed under: Hevea brasiliensis (rubber tree)
Lineage: Eukaryota; Viridiplantae; Streptophyta; Magnoliopsida; Malpighiales; Euphorbiaceae
Source: RNAcentral
UUGCUGCUGUUGUUAUUUUAUGGCAAUUUGGAGCUGUGUAAGUUGAUGUGUAUGUGAAUAUGAGUAGGACGGGUAGACGCGACUGGAGCUUGACUCGCUGGGACCCGAUCCUUAUUAUGGAAAAGUCGGGGUAGGUACGGUUUUGAGUUGAUCUCGCUAGCCACGGCAUUUGAAUAUUAAGAGAAAGUCCAGUUUUGAGUUGAUCUCGCUAGCAGAGAUUGAAACUAAAAGAGCUAGAUAGGGAGAUCGGCUCCCCAUAUAUAUAUGUGUGAGUGCUCCAGAUUGCCUUUG